UUUCCGGUUGAUCCUGCCGGACCUGACUGCUAUCGGAUUGAUACUAAGCCAUGCGAGUCUUUGCAGUAAUGCAAGGCAUACGGCUCAGUAACACGUAGUCAACCUACCCUAUGGACGAGAAUAAUCUCGGGAAACUGAGCAUAAUUCUUGAUAGAUCAUAAUGCCUGGAAUGGUUUAUGGUUAAAAUGAUUCGUCGCCAUAGGAUGGGACUGCGGCCUAUCAGCUUGUUGGUGAGGUAAUGGCCCACCAAGGCGAUUACAGGUACGGGCUCUGAGAGGAGAAGCCCGGAGAUGGGUACUGAGACACGGACCCAGGCCCUAUGGGGCGCAGCAGGCGAGAAAACUUUGCAAUGUGCGAAAGCACGACAAGGUUAAUCCGAGUGAUUUCUGCUAAAGAAAUCUUUUGCCAGUCGUAAAACCGCUGGUGAAUAAGGGGUGGGCAAGUUCUGGUGUCAGCCGCCGCGGUAAAACCAGCACCUCAAGUGGUCAGGAUGAUUAUUGGGCCUAAAGCAUCCGUAGCCUGCUUUGUAAGUUUUCGGUUAAAUCCAUGUGCUCAACGCAUGGGCUGCCGAAAAUACUGCAUAGCUAGGGAGUGGGAGAGGUAGACGGUACUCAGUAGGUAGGGGUAAAAUCCUUUGAUCUAUUGAUGACCACCUGUGGCGAAGGCGGUCUACCAGAACACGUUCGACGGUGAGGGAUGAAAGCUGGGGGAGCAAACCGGAUUAGAUACCCGGGUAGUCCCAGCUGUAAACGAUGCAGACUAGAUGAUGCAUUGGCAUAAUAGCCAUUGCAGUGUCUCAGGGAAGCCGUUAAGUCUGCCGCCUGGGAAGUACGUACGCAAGUAUGAAACUUAAAGGAAUUGGCGGGGGAGCACCACAAGGGGUGAAGCCUGCGGUUCAAUUGGAGUCAACGCCGGAA
RNAcentral lists this ribosomal RNA (917 nucleotides) under uncultured archaeon. Its description in RNAcentral is "SSU rRNA". It matches the Rfam family "Archaeal small subunit ribosomal RNA", at positions 1 to 923 of the family's 1478-position model. The record is from RNAcentral.